CUUAUCAGAGAUCUCACCUCUGUGCUAAUUGCUUUCCUGGCUGAUUGAAAUGAAAAUAAGCAGUAGGGGUACUAAUGGGAGCCAGACACUGUAUUCAAGAAAACACUGCUUGAAUGCUGGUCCUGCUACUUGCACAGAAAAAAAAAAAAAAAAAAAAAAGAAAGGGAGAAGUCAAAAGGAGGUGUCCUCCUUGUCAACAUUCAUCCAGCUUGUAAUGACAUUAACACCUGAAGUGAUUUGAAGCGAAUGGCUUUAAGGCACAAUCCAACUCUGCUUGUUACCUGCAAGGUCUCACUUUCCAUGGGUGACACCUAGUGCCAUGUGGCUGCUGCUGCCCCCCUACCCCAGCAAGAGCCCUUCAGGAACUGUGUCACACAGUCUCAGCCCCUUAAUUGCAUGUUCUGUCCCUCACCCAGGUCCUCAGAGCACACCCUCUUUCCUUAAAAGAGGCUCUGUGCAUGAAUCCAGAGCUCGACUAACAUCCUCUGGUGCUUACCUGUUCUGUGGCUGGAGGAUACAAGUGAGGAAGCAGCAUAAACACCCAGCCUCAAGGAACAGACUUGGCUCUGGCUGAAGAUGUCACUAAUGCCAUAUAGGUUCUGUUACAGGCUGAGGAACCUAUAGCAGAAUGGGAGCCAAAGACAGAGGCACCAGAAAAGAUUGAGGAGGCAAAAUAAGAGUACAAAGUCUUCACAAACCACUUGUCAUUGCGUACAUACGUGCCUACCACAUUUCUUCUUCAGUCAUGAUUUUGAUUCGUGCUAGUCCUGAAUGUUAUCUCCUGCCAUGGUGUGUGCAUGAAAGGAAAAUAAUCCUCAUGGGAUCUGGAAUUCUUGUAUUCCUGACUCCCCAUGCUUCUCAGGACCACCGAAAGAAACAACUGCUCGCACCCAGGCCAGGUGCUGGAACAGCUUGGACUGGGAUGCACUGCCCAGUGGAGACACAGUUUAGCAGCAGCUGAACCUGGAGAUCAGCCGGUGCCCCAGACUUUAAACCUUUCCACAAACUCAGUCUUUCUGUCAUCUUUACUGCGGUGCUCACAGAAGAAAUGCUUCAGAG
RNAcentral lists this long non-coding RNA (1059 nucleotides) under Anas zonorhyncha (Eastern spot-billed duck). RNAcentral describes it as "lncRNA (ENSAZOG00000007205.1)". The record is from RNAcentral. Lineage: Eukaryota; Metazoa; Chordata; Aves; Anseriformes; Anatidae.